This 376-nucleotide ribosomal RNA is filed under the name uncultured Polaribacter sp. RNAcentral's name for it is "bacterial SSU rRNA". It matches the Rfam family "Bacterial small subunit ribosomal RNA", at positions 104 to 478 of the family's 1533-position model. The record is from RNAcentral. Lineage: Bacteria; Pseudomonadati; Bacteroidota; Flavobacteriia; Flavobacteriales; Flavobacteriaceae.
GGGUGCGUAACGCGUAUAGAACCUACCUUUUACAGAGGAAUAGCCUUUAGAAAUGAAGAUUAAUGCCUCAUAGUAUUGUAGACUGGCAUCAGUUUAUAAUUAAAGAUUUAUCGGUAAAAGAUGGCUAUGCGUCCUAUUAGUUAGUUGGUAAGGUAACGGCUUACCAAGACAGCGAUAGGUAGGGGUCCUGAGAGGGAGAUCCCCCACACUGGUACUGAGACACGGACCAGACUCCUACGGGAGGCAGCAGUGAGGAAUAUUGGACAAUGGAGGAGACUCUGAUCCAGCCAUGCCGCGUGUAGGAAGAAUGCCCUAUGGGUUGUAAACUACUUUUAUACAGGAAGAAACACUGGUAUGUAUACCAGCUUGACGGUAC